CCAACAGGGAUUGCCUCAGUAACGGCGAGUGAAGCGGCAACAGCUCAAAUUUGAAAUCUGGCCCCAGGCCCGAGUUGUAAUUUGCAGAGGAUGCUUCUGGCAAGGUGCCUUCCAAGUCCCCUGGAACGGGGCGCCGAAGAGGGUGAGAGCCCCGUCCGGUCGGCCACCAAGCCUGUGUGAAGCUCCUUCGACGAGUCGAGUAGUUUGGGAAUGCUGCUCUAAACGGGAGGUAGACCCCUUCUAAAGCUAAAUACCGGCCAGAGACCGAUAGCGCACAAGUAGAGUGAUCGAAAGAUGAAAAGCACUUUGAAAAGAGGGUUAAAAAGUACGUGAAAUUGUUGAAAGGGAAGCGCUUGUGACCAGACGUGUGCCGGGGUGUUCAGCGGGCGUUCUCGCCCGUGCACUCGCCCCGGUACAGGCCAGCGUCGGUUCGCGCGGGGGGACAAAGGCGUCGGGAACGUAGCUCCUCCGGGAGUGUUAUAGCCCGGCGUGUCAUGCCCCCGUGCGGACCGAGGUUCGCGCUCCGCAAGGACGCUGGCGUAAUGGUCUCCAGCGGCCCGUCUUGAAACACGGACCAAGGAGUCGAGGUUUUGCGCGAGUGUUUGGGUGUUAAACCCGCACGCGUAAUGAAAGUGAACGCAGGUGGGAGCUUCGGCGCACCACCGACCGAUCCUGAUGUUCUCGGAUGGAUUUGAGUAGGAGCGUAGGGCCUCGGACCCGAAAGAUGGUGAACUAUACGUGGAUAGGGUGAAGCCAGAGGAAACUCUGGUGGAGGCUCGCAGCGGUUCUGACGUGCAAAUCGAUCGUCAAAUCUGCGUAUGGGGGCGAAAGACUAAUCGAACCAU
RNAcentral lists this ribosomal RNA (845 nucleotides) under Codinaeella yunnanensis. Its description in RNAcentral is "partial large subunit ribosomal RNA". It matches the Rfam family "Eukaryotic large subunit ribosomal RNA", at positions 65 to 943 of the family's 3401-position model. RNAcentral also lists the same sequence under 1 other name. Lineage: Eukaryota; Fungi; Ascomycota; Sordariomycetes; Chaetosphaeriales; Chaetosphaeriaceae. The record is from RNAcentral.